Molecule: long non-coding RNA, 281 nt
Filed under: Trifolium pratense (red clover)
Lineage: Eukaryota; Viridiplantae; Streptophyta; Magnoliopsida; Fabales; Fabaceae
Description: long non-coding RNA (TPRA_LNC012030)
Source: RNAcentral
GUUCGGAGUCUUUGAUGAUUUGUGAUGAUGUAGUGUUUGUUGCAACUAUGAAGAACAACAUAGUAAUAAUGUGAUGAAACUGAAAACUGAGAUCAAAUUUGUGAUAGAUAAAGGGUGUAUUGAAUCAUGUUUGCAGUAUGAUUCUUCAUUUGUAAUUGACAUAAUAGUUGGAUUAUUAAGGGUGUAUUGAAUGUAGUUCAACAACUUAAUAAUUUUGUUUCCAUGUUGAUGACUCUAUUUGCUCUGUUAUUGUAAUUCUUGGCUCUGUGAAUGCAAUGAUG